RNAcentral lists this ribosomal RNA (661 nucleotides) under Bacillus sp. 2G9. Its description in RNAcentral is "bacterial SSU rRNA". It matches the Rfam family "Bacterial small subunit ribosomal RNA", at positions 777 to 1436 of the family's 1533-position model. The record is from RNAcentral. Lineage: Bacteria; Bacillati; Bacillota; Bacilli; Caryophanales; Bacillaceae.
AUUAGAUACCCUGGUAGUUCACGCCGUAAACGAUGAGUGCUAAGUGUUAGAGGGUUUCCGCCCUUUAGUGCUGCAGCUAACGCAUUAAGCACUCCGCCUGGGGAGUACGGUCGCAAGACUGAAACUCAAAGGAAUUGACGGGGGCCCGCACAAGCGGUGGAGCAUGUGGUUUAAUUUGAAGCAACGCGAAGAACCUUACCAGGUCUUGACAUCCUUUGACAACCCUAGAGAUAGGGCUUUCCCCUUCGGGGGACAGAGUGACAGGUGGUGCAUGGUUGUCGUCAGCUCGUGUCGUGAGAUGUUGGGUUAAGUCCCGCAACGAGCGCAACCCUUGAUUUUAGUUGCCAGCAUUCAGUUGGGCACUUUAAGAUGACUGCCGGUGACAAACCGGAGGAAGGUGGGGAUGACGUCAAAUCAUCAUGCCCCUUAUGACCUGGGCUACACACGUGCUACAAUGGACGGUACAAAGGGCAGCGAGACCGCGAGGUUUAGCCAAUCCCAUAAAACCGUUCUCAGUUCGGAUUGCAGGCUGCAACUCGCCUGCAUGAAGCUGGAAUCGCUAGUAAUCGCGGAUCAGCAUGCCGCGGUGAAUACGUUCCCGGGCCUUGUACACACCGCCCGUCACACCACGAGAGUUUGUAACACCCGAAGUCGGUGAGGU